Molecule: long non-coding RNA, 545 nt
Filed under: Gallus gallus (chicken)
Lineage: Eukaryota; Metazoa; Chordata; Aves; Galliformes; Phasianidae
Description: long non-coding RNA NONGGAT008991
Source: RNAcentral
CUAUUUCAGUGUCGGUUCAGCUGGUACACAGCCCGUGGAUCGGAAGGCAGGUGCGUGUUUGGCUGUGGCUGUGGGUCGGGGCUGGGGUUGUGGAAGCUGGGCGUUGCAGGGCAGCACAGCGUGGUUAUGGAGCUGCUUCUCCAUGCACAGCGGCAUCGAUGGGGAAAGUUGUGAGGAAAAGUGCUACAAAAGCCAAGGAACUGGGUGAGUUUAGAAGUCCCCGGCCACGCAUCCGUGCUGAUAGCCGCUCGUGAGCAGCUGCUGGAAGGCAGCACUGGGCUGCUGUGGGUUCCUGUGUGAAAACAGGCCGUGCCCGAGGCGGGCAGCGCGCACAGCUCGGCGGGGCCGGGCGCUCCGUCAGCUCCUCCGCACCUGCGUUGGGGAGGGCUGAGCGCUGUAAGCGCAGGUGAAGCCAAUGAGGCGUUCCCGCCCUGCGCUGAGGAGAGCCCUGCCUGAAAUGGCGGCGGGCAGAGCGGGGUGUGUGAGGCGGAACGCGGCCUACGUCGGCUGCCCCGGCCCGGGGGCACCGGGAAGAGACGCGGCCG